GCUUCGGAGAGAGAAAUGCUGGGGUGCAGCUUCAAGCUUAGGACCACCCACCAUGCCUAUCCAGGUGCUGAAGGGCCUGACCAUCACUCAUUAAGAACAGAGGAGGCUGCCUGUUACUCCUGGUGUUGACACUCUGCUGUUUCCUGCCUAGGCGUGGCUGCAGCCAUGGCUAGGAAAGCGCUGCCACCCACCCACCUGGGCCAGAGCUGGUUCUGCUCCUGCUGCAGGGACACUGAGCUGGCUAUCUCGGCGCUUCGGGCAAGAACUGCAACAGGCUCUCCUGGGUCCUGCAGGUGUACAGCCGGGCCCCUGCCUUGUGCCUCAGCUCUCGAGAGCUGCUGCUGCCGGGUGACCUGAUCCAACCUGAUAAGGUGCCAUCUUCAGCUACCACUGCAAGGCCCUGAGGGCAACAGCAGCACGGCACUGCCCACCCGGCUGCUGAUGGCCUGGUGCCAGCUGGGAGUCCUCCCGGCACUUCGAGGCCACUGAGCCACCCUUCCAGCCCCAGCCCACCAUGGACAGGGGUAUCCAGCUUCCUCCUCAACCUCGUCCUCUGCCCCUGAGCCAGUGACGCCCAAGGACAUGCCUGUUACCCAGGUCCUGUACCAGCACUAGCUGGUCAAGGGCAUGACAGUGCUGGAGGCCGUCUUGGAGAUCCAGGCCAUCACUGGCAGCAGGCUGCUCUCCAUGGUGCCAGGGCCCGCCAGGCCACCAGGCUCAUGCUGGGACCCAACCCAGUGCACAAGGACUUGGCUGCUGAGCCACACACCCAGGAGAAGGUGGAUAAGUGGGCUACCAAGGGCUUCCUGCAGGCUAGGGGAGGAGCCACCCCCGCUUCCCUAUUGUGACCAGGCCUAUGGGGAGGAGCUGUCCAUACGCCACCGUGAGACCUGGGCCUGGCUCUCAAGGACAGACACCGCCUGGCCUGGUGCUCCAGGGGUGAAGCAGGCCAGAAUCCUGGGGGAGCUGCUCCUGGUUUGAGCUGCAUUCAGGAAGUGCGGGACAUGGUAGGGGAGGCAAAAAGCCUUGGGCACUACCCUCCCUGUGGAGCUGUUCGGUGUCCGUCGAGCUAGCCACACCCUGACACCAUGUUCAAGGGUACCGGAAGAGAAGGGUGUCUGCCCCCAACCUCCCCUGUGGGUGUCACUGGCCAGAUGUCAUGAGGGAAGCAGGCCUUGUGAGUGGACACUGACCAUGAGUCCCUGGGGGGAGUGAUCCCCCAGGCAUCGUGUGCCAUGUUGCACUUCUGCCCAGGCAGCAGGGUGGGUGGGUACCAUGGGUGCCCACCCCUCCACCACAUGGGGCCCCAAAGCACUGCAGGCCAAGCAGGGCAACCCCACACCCUUGACAUAAAAGCAUCUUGAAGCUUUUA
Homo sapiens (human) is the source of this 1372-nucleotide long non-coding RNA. Ensembl annotates it as multidrug resistance-related protein. Its record names the gene C19orf48P. Lineage: Eukaryota; Metazoa; Chordata; Mammalia; Primates; Hominidae. The record is from Ensembl.